GACGAACGCUGGCGGCGUGCUUAACACAUGCAAGUCGAACGGAAAGGCCCUGCUUUUGUGGGGUGCUCGAGUGGCGAACGGGUGAGUAACACGUGAGUAACCUGCCCUUGACUUUGGGAUAACUUCAGGAAACUGGGGCUAAUACCGGAUAGGAGCUCCUGCUGCAUGGUGGGGGUUGGAAAGUUUCGGCGGUUGGGGAUGGACUCGCGGCUUAUCAGCUUGUUGGUGGGGUAGUGGCUUACCAAGGCUUUGACGGGUAGCCGGCCUGAGAGGGUGACCGGCCACAUUGGGACUGAGAGACGGCCCAGACUCCUACGGGAGGCAGCAGUGGGGAAUAUUGCACAAUGGGCGGAAGCCUGAUGCAGCAACGCCGCGUGCGGGAUGACGGCCUUCGGGUUGUAAACCGCUUUCGCCUGUGACAAAGCGUGAGUGACGGUAAUGGGUAAAGAAGCACCGGCUAACUACGUG
This 468-nucleotide ribosomal RNA is filed under the name uncultured bacterium. RNAcentral's name for it is "partial 16S ribosomal RNA". It matches the Rfam family "Bacterial small subunit ribosomal RNA", at positions 28 to 507 of the family's 1533-position model. The record is from RNAcentral.